Molecule: long non-coding RNA, 795 nt
Filed under: Jatropha curcas
Lineage: Eukaryota; Viridiplantae; Streptophyta; Magnoliopsida; Malpighiales; Euphorbiaceae
Description: long non-coding RNA (JCUR_LNC001004)
Source: RNAcentral
UAAACAUGAAAAUUAAAGUGAAGAAACCACAAGUUAAAUGAUCGAAUUGUCUCCGCCGUCUCUUCUAAGGCAGGAAUGGAAGGUCAAAGCGGAGAGACAGAGACACAAGUCAAAGUGUCAAACCGCUUUUAUCAGAUGAGAAACCAACUACCAAUCGCAGUUUGAAACGUGGCAGCAGGCAGGCAACAACAAAAUUUUCUUACGAAAAUCCCAACCAAUCACAACCCGAAAAGUGGGAGAGUUACGAGAGUAGAGAGCAAAUCCGUCCGUAUGAUUCAAAUACCAGAAUGAACAGUACACGCUGAUCGCCUGAUCCGCAGAGCCGGUUUCGCAUUUCCCCACCCCUCGCGGGCUCAUCAUCUUCGUAGCCCGCACCACCCCAGUCCAGAGUCAAGACACAGAGUUAAAACUCAUAGUAGCCAGCCACAGCCUUACAAUUGUAAUACGAUUUUUCUUUUUUUACUCUCACUUCAUUUAACCUUUUGCCUUUCCCUUUUUAUCUGCUAACGUGGGUGACAAAGCCAUCGAAUUUUCAGUCGGAAAAGAGACUCAAAUUUAGAUAAGUUUUGUAAAUAUUUGUUUUGCAUAUUACACCGUAGGUAUUGAUAUUCCAUUGAAUAUAGGAAGAAGAUGAAUGGAUUAAAGUAGCAUUUGAUAUGCUGAAAAAGAUAGAUCCAAUCCAUAGCUUAUAUGGUCAUAACGCGUAGGUUUCAGUUUCAGAAUGGAUUAUGCGCUCCAAAUAUAGACAACCUUCACGUGAUCAAUGUUACAAUUAAAAAUAUUUUUAAUAUAAAU